CUUCAGAGUAUCAAAACAAGCCAUAAGUGGCAUUAUUACAGAAGUAUGCUCCGCCAUAAUUGAGGAAUUAAAAGAUUAUAUCAAGCUUCCAACGACAGAAGAAACUUGGUUGAACAUAAGCAAACAGUUUGAAGAGAAGUGGAAUUUUCCACACUGUUUAGGGGCACUGGACGGAAAACAUGUUGUGCUUGAGGCACCUAUCAAAAGUGGAACUGAAUUCUACAACUAUAAAAACUUCUUUAGCAUCGUUCUUUUUGCUUUGGUUGACGCCGAUUAUAAUUUUCUAUUUGUAGAUGUGGGAUGCCAAGGAAGGAUUUCAGAUGGUGGCAUCUUUAAAGAUACAAAACUCUGUGAAAUGAUAGAAGAUCGUACAAUAAACCUUCCAUCACCUGAUUCACUCCCACGGAGACAUAUUCCAAUACCAUAUUUCUUUGUGGGUGAUAGUGCCUUUGCUUUAAGUGAAAAUCUGAUGAAACCAUAUGCUGGGGCACAUCCAAAAGGCACUUCAAAGAGAGUAUUCAACUACAGGCUAAGCAGAGCCAGAAGAACUGUUGAAAAUGCAUUUGGUAUCAUAUCGUCUGUCUUUAGAGUUCUCAGAAAACCAAUGCUUUUACAGCCUGAUAAAGCUGAGCUAGUGGUUAUGGCAAUUGUCCUUUUACAUAAUUAUUUGAGACGUCACUCUAGAAAUACAUAUAUGAAUGACACUGAAGAUGAAGUUACGAAUGAAGACACACGUAGGCAAAAUAAUGAAGAUAUGAGAUCACUACUACCUAUGAGAAAUAUUCCUCGACGAUCGCCUGCACAUUUGAAUGCGUUAAGAGAUGAGCUCUCCGAUUAUUUUAUGAAAGAAGGGAAGGUUCAUUAGCAAGACAGAUGUUCGUAAAAGAAUCAAUCCAGUUUUACUUACCGUGUUCGUUCUCUUUCUCGGUUUGUUACGGUUGUCCAAGAACUUCAAAGAAUCAAAGGCAAACCAUCGACUUUUGUAUGUCUCCGAGGCACCUGAAAAAAUAAAAUAAUAAUCAUGAAAAAAAUUAAAUAAAAAACAUAAUUCAGUCAGUUUUAAACAUAGUUGUUUUUAAGUAAACUUGACUAAUAAUAAUUAAUAAUAUUUAAUAAUUAAUUUGUGAUUUCAAUCCAUUAAAAUAUUGUAGUUGUUGUCAAAGUUGUCAUUUUGUAGAGAAAAAAGCCAAUUUCAAUAUUAGUCGGCUAUGCCAAUUUACAUUUCAAUACACAAACAUUUUUGCGGUUUCCAACCUACGAUUGUACUAAGAAUAAAGUAUAUGAAUAAAUAAUAAAUAGUAAAU
Long non-coding RNA from Ostrinia nubilalis (European corn borer), 1304 nucleotides. RefSeq lists it as uncharacterized. Lineage: Eukaryota; Metazoa; Arthropoda; Insecta; Lepidoptera; Crambidae. The transcript has 2 exons. The record is from RefSeq and is a predicted model, not a curated record.